RNAcentral lists this ribosomal RNA (459 nucleotides) under Mammaliicoccus lentus. Its description in RNAcentral is "bacterial SSU rRNA". It matches the Rfam family "Bacterial small subunit ribosomal RNA", at positions 57 to 504 of the family's 1533-position model. The record is from RNAcentral. Lineage: Bacteria; Bacillati; Bacillota; Bacilli; Caryophanales; Staphylococcaceae.
GCAAGUCGAGCGAACAGAUGAGAAGCUUGCUUCUCUGAUGUUAGCGGCGGACGGGUGAGUAACACGUGGGUAACCUACCUAUAAGACUGGGAUAACUCCGGGAAACCGGGGCUAAUACCGGAUAAUAUAUUGAACCGCAUGGUUCAAUGUUGAAAGACGGUUUCGGCUGUCACUUAUAGAUGGACCCGCGCCGUAUUAGCUAGUUGGUAAGGUAACGGCUUACCAAGGCAACGAUACGUAGCCGACCUGAGAGGGUGAUCGGCCACACUGGAACUGAGACACGGUCCAGACUCCUACGGGAGGCAGCAGUAGGGAAUCUUCCGCAAUGGGCGAAGCCUGACGGAGCAACGCCGCGUGAGUGAUGAAGGUCUUAGGAUCGUAAACUCUGUUGUUAGGGAAGAAGAAUUUGUUAGUAGCGAACAAGUCUGACGGUACCUAACCAGAAGCCCGGCAAUUAUU